This 470-nucleotide ribosomal RNA is filed under the name uncultured bacterium. RNAcentral's name for it is "bacterial SSU rRNA". It matches the Rfam family "Bacterial small subunit ribosomal RNA", at positions 12 to 481 of the family's 1533-position model. The record is from RNAcentral.
UUUGAUCAUGGCUCAGAUUGAACGCGGCGGCAUGCCUUACACAUUCAAGUCGAACGGCAGCACGGGGGCAACCCUGGUGGCGAGUGGCGAACGGGUGAGUAAUGCAUCGGAACGUGCCCAGUAGUGGGGGAUAACCAGUCGAAAGAUUGGCUAAUACCGCAUACGACCUUCGGGUGAAAGCGGGGGACCGCAAGGCCUCGCGCUAUUGGAGCGGCCGAUGUCUGAUUAGCUAGUUGGUGAGGUAAAGGCUCACCAAGGCGACGAUCAGUAGCUGGUCUGAGAGGACGGCCAGCCACACUGGGACUGAGACACGGCCCAGACUCCUACGGGAGGCAGCAGUGGGGAAUUUUGGACAAUGGGCGCAAGCCUGAUCCAGCCAUGCCGCGUGCGGGAAGAAGGCCUUCGGGUUGUAAACCGCUUUUGGCAGGAACGAAACGGCGCCCCCUAAUACGGGCGUAAUGACAAACCUC